This 310-nucleotide ribosomal RNA is filed under the name uncultured bacterium. RNAcentral describes it as "partial 16S ribosomal RNA". It matches the Rfam family "Bacterial small subunit ribosomal RNA", at positions 503 to 807 of the family's 1533-position model. The record is from RNAcentral.
AAGAGACAGCAGCCGCCGCGGUAAAACGGAGGGUGCAAGCGUUAAUCGGAAUUACUGGGCGUAAAGCGCACGCAGGCGGUUUGUUAAGUCAGAUGUGAAAUCCCCGAGCUUAACUUGGGAACUGCAUUUGAAACUGGCAAGCUAGAGUCUUGUAGAGGGGGGUAGAAUUCCAGGUGUAGCGGUGAAAUGCGUAGAGAUCUGGAGGAAUACCGGUGGCGAAGGCGGCCCCCUGGACAAAGACUGACGCUCAGGUGCGAAAGCGUGGGGAGCAAACAGGAUUAGAGACCCGCGUAGUCCCUGUCUCUUAUAC